CCUCCUUCUUCGCGACCGGAGAAGAACAACCUUCAAUCGCUAGAUAAAACCCUAGGUCCAACCACCGGGAACCGUAGGGUCUGGAAACUUACCGGAAUAGGGUCAGGGACGUCAGAAAAUCACCCAAAACAUCCACCGAGUGAGGAUCGAGCCACCGGAUAGCAGUAAAACCCUAGGUUCAACCACCAGAAACCCUAGAAUUUGGAAAGUCACCGGAAAAAAGUCAGGGAUGUCGGAAAAUCACCCAAAACAUCCACUGAGUGAAGAUCAAAGCAUUAAAUAGCCGCAAAAGUUCCGAUUAUCCAGUCAAUAUACAUCGUUCUCUCGGUAAACAAAAUUUCUCACAAAUAUCCAGAAAAUCCUUCAAUAAAACUUCCAACACGAUCGAUAACAAGUAACGGAGAAGAAUUCUAGGAUCAUCCCGCUCUGAUACCAUGAACACGUAUAGAUUGAAGGCAAAACAAUGAAGAACACAGUGAGAGAAAGAGAGAAAUUGAGAGAGAAGUUGGUAGAACUCUCUGGAAUAACCGAGAGUGAAG
RNAcentral lists this long non-coding RNA (539 nucleotides) under Nicotiana benthamiana. RNAcentral describes it as "long non-coding RNA (NBEN_LNC035622)". Lineage: Eukaryota; Viridiplantae; Streptophyta; Magnoliopsida; Solanales; Solanaceae. The record is from RNAcentral.